RNAcentral lists this ribosomal RNA (924 nucleotides) under uncultured Bacteroidota bacterium. RNAcentral's name for it is "bacterial SSU rRNA". It matches the Rfam family "Bacterial small subunit ribosomal RNA", at positions 1 to 916 of the family's 1533-position model. Lineage: Bacteria; Pseudomonadati; Bacteroidota. The record is from RNAcentral.
GGAUCCAGACUUUGAUCCUGGCUCAGGAUGAACGCUAGCUACAGGCUUAACACAUGCAAGUCGAGGGGAAACGAUAUUGGAAGCUUGCUUCCGAUAGGCGUCGACCGGCGCACGGGUGAGUAACGCGUAUCCAACCUGCCCACCACUUGGGGAUAACCUUGCGAAAGUAAGACUAAUACCCAAUGAGGUCUCUAGAAGACAUCUGAAAGAGAUUAAAGAUUUAUCGGUGAUGGAUGGGGAUGCGUCUGAUUAGCUUGUUGGCGGGGUAACGGCCCACCAAGGCGACGAUCAGUAGGGGUUCUGAGAGGAAGGUCCCCCACAUUGGAACUGAGACACGGUCCAAACUCCUACGGGAGGCAGCAGUGAGGAAUAUUGGUCAAUGGGCGAGAGCCUGAACCAGCCAAGUAGCGUGCAGGAUGACGGCCCUAUGGGUUGUAAACUGCUUUUAUAAGGGAAUAAAGUGGGAGUCGUGACUCCUUUUGCAUGUACCUUAUGAAUAAGGACCGGCUAAUUCCGUGCCAGCAGCCGCGGUAAUACGGAAGGUCCGGGCGUUAUCCGGAUUUAUUGGGUUUAAAGGGAGCGUAGGCCGGAGAUUAAGCGUGUUGUGAAAUGUAGACGCUCAACGUCUGCACUGCAGCGCGAACUGGUUUCCUUGAGUACGCACAAAGUGGGCGGAAUUCGUGGUGUAGCGGUGAAAUGCUUAGAUAUCACGAAGAACUCCGAUUGCGAAGGCAGCUCACUGGAGCGCAACUGACGCUGAAGCUCGAAAGUGCGGGUAUCGAACAGGAUUAGAUACCCUGGUAGUCCGCACGGUAAACGAUGGAUGCCCGCUGUUGGUCUGAAUAGGUCAGCGGCCAAGCGAAAGCAUUAAGCACCCCACCUGGGGAGUACGCCGGCAACGGUGCAACUCAAAUGAAUUGACGG